GACGACUCUCGGCAACGGAUAUCUCGGCUCUCGCAUCGAUNAAGAACGUAGCGAAAUGCGAUACUUGGUGUGAAUUGCAGAAUCCCGUGAACCAUCGAGUCUUUGAACGCAAGUUGCGCCCGAGGCCACUCGGCCGAGGGCACGCCUGCCUGGGCGUCACGCC
This 163-nucleotide ribosomal RNA is filed under the name Persea decursinervis. RNAcentral's name for it is "5.8S ribosomal RNA". It matches the Rfam family "5.8S ribosomal RNA". Rfam says of the family: 5.8S ribosomal RNA (5.8S rRNA) is a component of the large subunit of the eukaryotic ribosome. It is transcribed by RNA polymerase I as part of the 45S precursor that also contains 18S and 28S rRNA. Functionally, it is thought that 5.8S rRNA may be involved in ribosome translocation. The record is from RNAcentral. Lineage: Eukaryota; Viridiplantae; Streptophyta; Magnoliopsida; Laurales; Lauraceae.